CGCGUAGGCGGCCUGUUAAGUCUGGAGUGAAAGUCCUGCUUUCAAGGUGGGAAUUGCUUUGGAUACUGGCGGGCUGGAGUGCAGGAGAGGUUAGUGGAAUUCCCGGUGUAGCGGUGAAAUGCGUAGAGAUCGGGAGGAACACCAGUGGCGAAGGCGACUAACUGGACUGUAACUGACGCUGAGGCGCGAAAGUGUGGGGAGCAAACAGGAUUAGAUACCCUGGUAGUCCACACUGUAAACGAUGAAUGCUAGGUGUAGGGGUAUCGACCCCUUCUGUGCCGGAGUAAACACAAUAAGCAUUCCGCCUGGGGAGUACGGCCGCAAGGUUGAA
Molecule: ribosomal RNA, 331 nt
Filed under: uncultured bacterium
Lineage: Bacteria
Description: bacterial SSU rRNA
Rfam family: Bacterial small subunit ribosomal RNA
Source: RNAcentral